UACGAAGGGGGCUAGCGUUGUUCGGAAUCACUGGGCGUAAAGGGCGCGUAGGCGGGAUGGCAAGUCGGUCGUGAAAUCCUUCGGCUCAACCGAAGAACGUCGGCCGAUACUGCCGUUCUUGAGGGAUGCAGAGGAGAUUGGAAUUCCCGGUGUAGCGGUGAAAUGUGUAGAGAUCGGGAGGAACACCGGUGGCGAAGGCGGGUCUCUGGGCAUCUCCUGACGCUGAGGCGCGAAAGCGUGGGGAGCAAACGGG
This 253-nucleotide ribosomal RNA is filed under the name uncultured bacterium. Its description in RNAcentral is "partial 16S ribosomal RNA". It matches the Rfam family "Bacterial small subunit ribosomal RNA", at positions 524 to 776 of the family's 1533-position model. The record is from RNAcentral.